RNAcentral lists this RNase P RNA (332 nucleotides) under Bacillota bacterium. Its description in RNAcentral is "Firmicutes bacterium (hot springs metagenome) RNase P RNA component class A". It matches the Rfam family "Bacterial RNase P class A". Rfam says of the family: Ribonuclease P (RNase P) is a ubiquitous endoribonuclease, found in archaea, bacteria and eukarya as well as chloroplasts and mitochondria. Its best characterised activity is the generation of mature 5'-ends of tRNAs by cleaving the 5'-leader elements of precursor-tRNAs. Cellular RNase Ps are ribonucleoproteins. Lineage: Bacteria; Bacillati; Bacillota. The record is from RNAcentral.
AGUGUGGGGUGUCUGGCCGCCGUGCAUUUCGUCAGCACGGAGGAACUUCCGGAUACUUAUGGGCUUUGGCUGGUUAAGAGCCAGCAUUGUGUGGGGUGGCCACAGAAACUAGACCGCCGGGAAUUCCCGGUAAGGGUGAAAAGGUGAGGUAAGAGCUCACCGGCUUAGCCGUGAGGCUAAGUGUCACGGUCCCCCACCAAAGUACAAUUUUAAGCAGCGGUAGGUAGCCCAUACCUUUAACCGCGGGUGAAAAGCAAAAUCUCCUGCCGUAAGGCAGGAGAUAAGAUAGAUGGCCAGAAGAACAGAAUCCGGGGUACUACCCCACGCUAAGC